RNAcentral lists this ribosomal RNA (355 nucleotides) under Macrotermes gilvus. RNAcentral's name for it is "partial 16S ribosomal RNA". Lineage: Eukaryota; Metazoa; Arthropoda; Insecta; Blattodea; Termitidae. The record is from RNAcentral.
CGGACAUAGAAUAUUUGCCUAAUUCCUUAAAAGGAAUUAAACACCCAAAAAAUAAAAUAAAUAAAAAAUUUACUAAUUCCACAAUAAUUACUAAACAAAAAAAAAUAAAGAAAACAUCCCAAUAAAAAAAUUAAACCCAAAUAAAAUAGAAAAAAGAAAAAACAAAAUUUUAACAUAAUCAAAUUGAAAAUCACCAUAAAAUCCACAAAACUAGAUAAAAACAAAAAUUAUAAGAAUAAAAAGAAGAGCUAAUCCCCCUCAAUCUUAACGCCAAAUAAAAAAAUGUAAACAAAAAAUUAAACAAACUAAAUAAGACGCAUGAAUUAAAUUCAUUUCUCGGAAAACCAGAAACCAC